GUGUGUGUGUGUGUGUGUGUGUGUGUGUGUUGCGUCCAGGUUCAGACGCGAAACAUCCGCUGUCUUCCCGACGUCCUCGUCAUCAACUGUGAGGUGAACAGCGCCAAGGAGGCCGAGUUCUGGAAGGUGCAGGCGGAGUACGCCUUCAACAAGGCGAAGCAGAAGGAGAAGGAGAAGCAGGCGAUGGAGCCUCCGAAGCCCAAAGAGCCGCCUCCGCCCAUGCCCACCGAGUGGUGCUUAGACGGGGAGGACCCGAGCAGCAUGGCGGGAUUCACCUUCGACACCAAGGCCGAAGACCUGAGACACGUCUGGAUCCCUCAGAGCCUCAAGAUGCAGAUCAGCAAAACCCAGGGGUUAGAGGUCAGCAGCUGGCCGGAGGGAGAGGAGGUAACA
Molecule: long non-coding RNA, 393 nt
Organism: Notothenia coriiceps (black rockcod)
Lineage: Eukaryota; Metazoa; Chordata; Actinopteri; Perciformes; Nototheniidae
Exons: 3
Source: RefSeq, a predicted model, not a curated record